UUUCAUUACAACGACCAUUAAAUUUUCUUAAGAUAGAAAAAUGAUCAGAAAAAACUUGGUGCUGCUUGCUAAAUUUUCAUUACAACGACCAUUAAAUUUUCUUAAGAUAGAAAAAUAAUCAGAUAUUAGCAACAGUAAGUAUGGCUCCAAGGAAUCCUUUUUACCACUCAAUAGACGUUUUCGAUUAUGCAAUCGACAUGAACUUGAAGGCUAUCAUUUCCCCAGUUCUUUUGUUCUUCUUGUAUUUGCUUUGCCAAAGUCACAGCUGAGGUUAGUGUCAUCGAAGUCAAUGAUUUGAAGAGUUGGUAAAUCUACAAUACUACAAGGAAUCUCUUCUAGUUUGAAACAUUCUCUAAUAAUUAGGCGCUAAAGGCCUGGGAAGUGAGUGUUGUCAGCUCUCCAUUGCGUGAGAUCUAUUUUGAUUUGCAAUAUCCUCCUUCGGUUAGCUUCCAUUCUGGCCCAUCAAAGGCGUUAUAUCGCAGUUUGAGCACUUCAAGAUUGGCCAUAGAACCAACAAUAGUCAUAUAUAUUUCCAAGGAAUUCUGCAACGCUCUAAAGUUAACGUUUCGAUAUUUGGUGGGAAAGUGAAAUUCAUGGGGAUGCUAAAACAUUCAUUUUCACUUCUGAUUUUCAGGUUCUCGAUUUGAGGAAGAUUAACCAUAGUACCUAGAGAAAAGGGUGAUAUUUUCCAAUGUUCAUUAAAGAUUCCUAACUUUACUAGAUUUGGAACUCUUUCAGAGACCUCCUUGUUACAGCUGGCACUACCCACUUUCGACAAUGUUAAAAGGUUUCCUAGAACGAAAUUCUCCCCAUCUAUUAGUGAUCUAGCAGGGCAUGGAAAAUAACACAUCCUGAACAGGAGAUGCCUUAAUUGUGGCAUUCUUCAUAUUUCCUAUGUUAGAUGUACUUUUUUUCACAUUCUACUAUUAAGGUCCGUAGAUACCAAAGAAAAUCAGGUAAUAUUUUAGGUAUGGAAAUUUUCCCGUCGCAGGAGAAAGAAAGGUACCGUGCGUGAACUAAUUUUAGGGUAAUUGGCACAAAAUAUUUCUACAUUUCAAGUUUAUUGUGGAAAACGUACAUACCUAUUUUUUAGCUUUUUCACCCCUACCUUUCACCUUUCUUUGCGCAGAAUGUCCUUUUCAUCAAUUUUUCACUAUUUUACCCCUCCAUUCAAAUAAAACAAAAAGAAAAGAAACAAAAAAGAAGUAAUUGCAACCAUAGUCCUAAGUUUUGAACAAAUUACAAAUCAGUCACACUUUAUUAUGAACUGAAAAAUUUUAAAAUUAUCCAAACAGAUAGAGAAAAAAAACUUGAAGGUGCAGGAAAAUUAUCAAGAAAUGGAGAAAUUUUUGAAUCACAGCCAAUGAAAAUGAAUAUUUUUCAGUUCACAAUAAAUUGUGACUAAUUUAUAAUUUUUUUUAAAAAAAAAUUGGGGUUAUGGUUGCAAUUAAUUCUUUAUUUUUUCUUUUCUUUUCUUUUUGUUUUAUUUGAAUGGAGGGUAAAAUCGUCAAAAGGACCUUUUAUGGAAAGAAAUGUGGAAGGUACGGGCGAAAAUGCCAAAAAUGAAAGAUAUGGACGUUUUUCACAAUAAACUUGAAAGGUAUGGACGUUUUGCGCCAAUUACCCUUGUUUCUUCACUUGGGAAACUAUCUACAUUUCCUUUACCAAGACCCAACACCUUGAGCAGUAAGAAAAUAUUUAUGUCACCUGAAUAAUAAAUUUCUCUAAUCGA
This 1732-nucleotide long non-coding RNA is filed under the name Olea europaea (common olive). RNAcentral's name for it is "long non-coding RNA (OEUR_LNC013423)". The record is from RNAcentral. Lineage: Eukaryota; Viridiplantae; Streptophyta; Magnoliopsida; Lamiales; Oleaceae.